UUCAAGCAAAUUGCUGUAGAAAUUGCGAGCGCUUCAAAGAGAAGAAGAGCACAACGUGGCAGAAAUUGUGGGAAUGUAGAAAUUGCAAGCACUUCAAAGAGAAGAAUAACACAACAUGGCAGAAACUGCGAGAAGAAAGCACUUGAAGAGAAAAACAAUUGACACUUUGUGGUCUUUUUCUCUUUGGAAGUGGUAGCAGGUUUUAUAGCGAUUUUGUAGAA
RNAcentral lists this microRNA precursor (221 nucleotides) under Picea abies (Norway spruce). RNAcentral describes it as "miR11460 stem-loop (pab-MIR11460)". Lineage: Eukaryota; Viridiplantae; Streptophyta; Pinopsida; Pinales; Pinaceae. The record is from miRBase by way of RNAcentral.